UGGGCGUAAGGGCGCGUAGGCGGCCUGGGAAGUUCUGGGUGAAAGCUCGAGGCUCAACCUCGAGAGGACCUGGGAAACCACUGGGCUGGAGUGCCGGAGAGGGAAGCGGAAUUCCCGGUGGAGCGGUGAAAUGCGUAGAGAUCGGGAGGAACACCGGAGGCGAAGGCGGCUUCCUGGACGGACACUGACGCUGAGGCGCGAAAGCCAGGGGAGCGAACGGGAUUAGAUACCCCGGUAGUCCUGGCCCUAAACGAUGGGUACUUGGUGUGGGGGGUAAGUGAAAGUCCCUCCGUGCCGGAGGCUAACGCAUUAAGUACCCCGCCUGGGGAGCACGGCCGCAAGGCUGAAACUCAAAGGAAUUGACGGGGGCCCGCACAAGCGGUGGAGCAUGUGGUUUAAUUCGACGCAACGCGAAGAACCUUACCGGGGUUUGAAGUGCGCGUGCCACUUCCAGAGAUGGGAGGUCUUGCUUCGGCAAGCGCGUGCAAAGGUGCUGCAUGGCUGUCGUCAGCUCGUGUCGUGAGAUGUUGGGUUAAGUCCCGCAACGAGCGCAACCCUUGUCCGUAGUUGCCAUCAGGUGAAGCUGGGCACCCUACGGAGACUGUCGGCGAAAAGCCGGAGGAAGGUGGGGAUGACGUCAAGUCAUCAUGGCCUUUAUGCCCCGGGCUACACACGUGCUACAAUGAUCGGUACAGAGGGGAGCCAACCCGCGAGGGGGAGCGAAUCCCAGCAAAGCCGGUCACAGUUCGG
Molecule: ribosomal RNA, 750 nt
Filed under: uncultured bacterium
Lineage: Bacteria
Description: bacterial SSU rRNA
Rfam family: Bacterial small subunit ribosomal RNA
Source: RNAcentral